AAAAAGACAAACCCUGGUUUCCGUGCCCAACGUUUGACCGUCCGUCUUAUUUGAAAAAAUUAUGAAAAAAAUUAAAAAGACAAGUCACGCAUAAAAUAUUAAUCAUAUUUUAUCAUCUAAUAACAAUAAAAAUAGAAUUAUAAAAAAUUUUCAUAUAAGACAGACAGUUAAAAUUGGACACGGAAACUCAGGGUUUGCCUUUUU
This 204-nucleotide microRNA precursor is filed under the name Oryza sativa Indica Group (long-grained rice). RNAcentral's name for it is "MIR812 microRNA precursor family". It matches the Rfam family "MIR812 microRNA precursor family". Lineage: Eukaryota; Viridiplantae; Streptophyta; Magnoliopsida; Poales; Poaceae. The record is from Rfam by way of RNAcentral.